Molecule: microRNA precursor, 94 nt
Filed under: Canis lupus familiaris (dog)
Lineage: Eukaryota; Metazoa; Chordata; Mammalia; Carnivora; Canidae
Also listed under: 1 other name
Description: mir-8799 microRNA precursor family
Rfam family: mir-8799 microRNA precursor family
Source: Rfam by way of RNAcentral
GGAGGGAGCGCCCAAUCCUGGGCUGUGUCCCUCAGCGCCCUGGGCUCCGGGGCCUGCACAGCUGGGAUCGUGCUCCUGGGCCGUGCAGCCCCCU